UACGAAAGGGGCUAGCGUUGUUCGGAUUUACUGGGCGUAAAGCGCACGUAGGCGGAUCGUUAAGUCGGGGGUGAAAUCCUGGAGCUCAACUCCAGAACUGCCUUCGAUACUGGCGAUCUUGAGUCCGGAAGAGGUGAGUGGAACUCCUAGUGUAGAGGUGGAAUUCGUAGAUAUUAGGAAGAACACCGGUGGCGAAGGCGGCUCACUGGUCCGGUACUGACGCUGAGGUGCGAAAGCGUGGGGAGCAAACAGG
RNAcentral lists this ribosomal RNA (253 nucleotides) under uncultured bacterium. RNAcentral's name for it is "partial 16S ribosomal RNA". It matches the Rfam family "Bacterial small subunit ribosomal RNA", at positions 524 to 776 of the family's 1533-position model. The record is from RNAcentral.